GUUUGCGGAGAGCAGACGAAAAGAGGAACGGCAAAAAUACUGCGCUUUCCGCUCCACGAUGCGCUCGAAUCGCAGCACGUGAGCGUCACGGGAUGGAGGCCCGACAUUAUUUCUGCUCUUCUGAGGAAUAACGAGGCAUUGCAAGCGUAAUCACAGACGGUUCGGGCGCGUACUCGAUUGAGCUUCAUUUCGAAAGGUGAGAGCUGAAGGAGAUCCCGAGCGGGUAAGAGAGGUAGACCAUGCGCCCUCAACGACUACUGUUACCUGUGGAGUCGCGAUGAUGAUGGUCGGCACGGAGCCCCGCUCGAAGUCCCGCGUACGAGGACUCUUUCCUAGCGUCUGCGAAAGGACAUUCCGACCGAGAGCACGCCGGAGUCGAACGUCUCCGUCAGGAGCGUUCUCGUACGCGGGUCUCCAGGGUCUCUCCGAUUUCCAAUUUGAGCGAAGUAUACAGAUAACUUGUACACACAUGAACAUAUAUUCCACUCGGAUCUAUCCCGGUUAAUAAAACUUCUAUGAUG
Long non-coding RNA from Galendromus occidentalis (western predatory mite), 521 nucleotides. RefSeq lists it as uncharacterized. The record is from RefSeq and is a predicted model, not a curated record. The transcript has 2 exons. Lineage: Eukaryota; Metazoa; Arthropoda; Arachnida; Mesostigmata; Phytoseiidae.